RNAcentral lists this ribosomal RNA (253 nucleotides) under uncultured bacterium. RNAcentral describes it as "partial 16S ribosomal RNA". It matches the Rfam family "Bacterial small subunit ribosomal RNA", at positions 524 to 776 of the family's 1533-position model. The record is from RNAcentral.
UACGGAGGGUGCAAGCGUUAUCCGGAUUUAUUGGGUUUAAAGGGUGCGUAGGCGGUUUUGUAAGUCAGCGGUGAAAUUUUCCGGCUCAACCGGGAACUUGCCGUUGAUACUGCGAGGCUUGAAUAUGAAUGAAGUUGGAGGAAUGUGCAGUGUAGCGGUGAAAUGCAUAGAUAUUGCACAGAAGGUCGAUUGCGAAGGCAUCUGACUAAUUCAUUAUUGACGCUGAUGCACGAAAGCGUGGGGAUCAAACAGG